This 155-nucleotide non-coding RNA is filed under the name uncultured Negativibacillus sp. The record is from RNAcentral. Lineage: Bacteria; Bacillati; Bacillota.
UAAGUGCCUCUUUGGAGGAAUAAUAGGGAAUCCGGUUAGAAUCCGGAACGAUUCGGUCACUGUAAGUGGGGAGCCUGCUGCAAAAUGCCAUUGUCCACAAGGACGAGAAGGUGCAGCAGAGCGUUGAGCCGCAAGUCAGGAAACCUGCUUGGAAG